Molecule: ribosomal RNA, 497 nt
Filed under: uncultured bacterium
Lineage: Bacteria
Description: partial 16S ribosomal RNA
Rfam family: Bacterial small subunit ribosomal RNA
Source: RNAcentral
GAUGAACGCUGGCGGCGUGCCUAAUACAUGCAAGUCGAGCGAACAGACGAGGAGCUUGCUCCUCUGACGGUAUCGGCGGACGGGAGAGUAACACGUGGUUAACCUACCUAUAAGACUGGGAUAACUUCGGGAAACCGGAGCUAAUACCGGAUAAUAUAUUGAACCGCAUUGUGCAAUAGUGAAAGACGGUUUUGCUGUCACUUAUAGAUGGAUCCGCGCCGCAUUAGCUAGUUGGUAAGGUAACGGCUUACCAAGGCAAGGAUGCGGAGCCGACCUGAGAGGGUGAUCGGCCACCCUGGAACUGAGACACGGUCCAGACUCCUGCGGGAGGCAGCAGUAGGGACUCUUCCGCAAUGGGCGAAAGCCUGACGGAGCAAAGCCGCGUGAGUGAUGAAGGUGUUCGGAUCGUAAAACUCUGUUAUUAGGAAAGAACAAAUGUGUAAGUAACUAUGCACGUCUUGACGGUACCUAAUCAGAAAGCCACGGCUAACUACGUG